Molecule: ribosomal RNA, 468 nt
Filed under: uncultured bacterium
Lineage: Bacteria
Description: partial 16S ribosomal RNA
Rfam family: Bacterial small subunit ribosomal RNA
Source: RNAcentral
GACGAACGCUGGCGGCGUGCUUAACACAUGCAAGUCGAACGGUGAUGCUCCAGCUUGCUGGAGUGGAUCAGUGGCGAACGGGUGAGUAACACGUGAGCAACCUGCCCCAGACUCUAGAAUAAGCGCUGGAAACGGCGUCUAAUACUGGAUACGAAACUGGCCCGCAUGGGCAUGGUUUGGAAAGUUUUUCGGUUUGGGAUGGGCUCGCGGCCUAUCAGCUUGUUGGUGAGGUAAUGGCUCACCAAGGCGACGACGGGUAGCCGGCCUGAGAGGGCGACCGGCCACACUGGGACUGAGACACGGCCCAGACUCCUACGGGAGGCAGCAGUGGGGAAUAUUGCACAAUGGGCGAAAGCCUGAUGCAGCGACGCCGCGUGAGGGAUGACGGCCUUCGGGUUGUAAACCUCUUUCAGCAGGGAAGAAGCGAAAGUGACGGUACCUGCAGAAGAAGCACCGGCUAACUACGUG